GAUGAACGCUGGCGGCGUGCUUAACACAUGCAAGUCGAACGGCACCCACCCUCGGGUGGAAGCGAGUGGCGAACGGCUGAGUAACACGUGGAGAACCCGCCCCUCCUCCGGGAUAGCCUCGGGAAACCGUGGGUAAUACCGGAUACCCCGGGCGCCGCAUGGCGCCCGGGCUAAAAGCCCCGACGGGAGGGGAUGGCUCCGCGGCCCAUCAGGUAGACGGCGGGUGACGGCCCACCGUGCCGA
RNAcentral lists this ribosomal RNA (243 nucleotides) under uncultured Actinomycetes bacterium. RNAcentral's name for it is "uncultured actinobacterium partial 16S ribosomal RNA". It matches the Rfam family "Bacterial small subunit ribosomal RNA", at positions 28 to 276 of the family's 1533-position model. Lineage: Bacteria; Bacillati; Actinomycetota; Actinomycetes. The record is from RNAcentral.